GAUGAACGCUGGCGGCGUGCCUAAUACAUGCAAGUCGAGCGAACAGACGAGGAGCUUGCUCCUCUGACGUUAGCGGCGGACGGGUGAGUAACACGUGGAUAACCUACCUAUAAGACUGGGAUAACUUCGGGAAACCGGAGCUAAUACCGGAUAAUAUAUUGAACCGCAUGGUUCAAUAGUGAAAGACGGUUUUGCUGUCACUUAUAGAUGGAUCCGCGCCGCAUUAGCUAGUUGGUAAGGUAACGGCUUACCAAGGCAACGAUGCGUAGCCGACCUGAGAGGGGGAUCGGCCACACUGGACCUGAGACCCGGUCCAGACUCCUACGGGAGGCAGCAGUAGGGAAUCUUCCGCAAUGGGCGAAAGCCUGACGGAGCAACGCCGCGUGAGUGAUGAAGGUCUUCGGAUCGUAAAACUCUGUUAUUAGGGAAGAACAAAUGUGUAAGUAACUAUGCACGUCUUGACGGUACCUAAUCAGAAAGCCACGGCUAACUACGU
This 496-nucleotide ribosomal RNA is filed under the name uncultured bacterium. RNAcentral describes it as "partial 16S ribosomal RNA". It matches the Rfam family "Bacterial small subunit ribosomal RNA", at positions 28 to 506 of the family's 1533-position model. The record is from RNAcentral.